This 481-nucleotide ribosomal RNA is filed under the name uncultured bacterium. RNAcentral describes it as "partial 16S ribosomal RNA". It matches the Rfam family "Bacterial small subunit ribosomal RNA", at positions 30 to 507 of the family's 1533-position model. The record is from RNAcentral.
UUGAACGCUGGCGGCAUGCUUUACACAUGCAAGUCGAACGGUAACAGGCCGCAAGGUGCUGACGAGUGGCGAACGGGUGAGUAAUGCAUCGGAACGCGCCCAGUCGUGGGGGAUAACUACUCGAAAGAGUAGCUAAUACCGCAUACGAUCUAUGGAUGAAAGCGGGGGACCGUAAGGCCUCGCGCGAUUGGAGCGGCCGAUGUCAGAUUAGGUAGUUGGUGGGGUAAAGGCUCACCAAGCCAACGAUCUGUAGCUGGUCUGAGAGGACGACCAGCCACACUGGGACUGAGACACGGCCCAGACUCCUACGGGAGGCAGCAGUGGGGAAUUUUGGACAAUGGGCGCAAGCCUGAUCCAGCAAUGCCGCGUGCAGGAAGAAGGCCUUCGGGUUGUAAACUGCUUUUGUACGGAACGAAACGGCUCUGGUUAAUACCCGGGGCUAAUGACGGUACCGUAAGAAUAAGCACCGGCUAACUACGUG